CAGAUAAUCAGGUUGAUUUCAUCUACUGCUGUGGUCAAGAUUGUUACGUUGGCAUCAUGUCAGUGAGUAAUAGUCAAAAACAGACGCACUUGUGCUGACUUAGCAUCUCUCAUGGUCACGAGCCUCUAUAUUACAGGAGAACGGAGAUUAAUUCCUCAGAACGGACGCAUUGGACCUGAUUUAAGAAUUCAUCCUUGAUCCUGAGACCUAGGAUUGCAUCUCUGUUACGGGAAUCUGGAGACCAAUAAUGGAACCACCUGAGGUGAAUUAAGCGUCUUCCAUGGUCACGAGCUCUCUGCUUGCGUCUCUCUUGUAGGAGAUGGAGACC
Molecule: long non-coding RNA, 328 nt
Organism: Equus quagga
Lineage: Eukaryota; Metazoa; Chordata; Mammalia; Perissodactyla; Equidae
Exons: 4
Source: RefSeq, a predicted model, not a curated record